GAAGGGAGUGAGCAGGAUGCUGUGAGAGAGGGUUACUAUUCCAAGUGGCACCUGGGCCAGCAGCAUUGGCAUCACCUGGGACUUGUGAGCAAUCCAGCAUCUCAGGCUCCACUGCAGGUCUCCUAAAUCAGAAUCUACAGUUUAACAAGAUCCCCAGCAGAUGUGUGUGUAAGCUCAAGAACCUGUUGAGAGGAGCACCUAGCAUAAGACCUGGCUUGUGACAGCUGCUCGUGGCAUGCCCUUCUCCACUAAGCCAACUUGUUAAACCUCUUCACGGCUGAGAUCAUGCUGCUUUCUUCUUCAGAUCUGCGACCCUCUAGCUGGGUGACUUUUAGACAAGUGAUCUGACCUCUCUGAGCCAGAGUUUCUACCUUGUAAAAAAAAAAAAAUCCCUUCCUGCAUGGUCAGCUGUCAUGAAAAGGACACAUGGUGAUGGGCAGACAAAGACAAGGCUUAGCUUCGUGUUUGACUCCUAGGAGCGCCCAGUUCAUGGAGGCUGCUGCUGUUACUAAUCUGUUUCCAUCUUCCCCUGGGAAUCCUGAGGUUUAUCUGUGAGCCUUUGGACUGCUGUAUGGACAACAUACUCUGCAGUAGCAUGAAGAAGUGAGUGAAGACCCUCCCUUGAACCGUUUGCCCUGAAAGAACAGAAGUCACAUCUUGAUAUCUCAGUGCCUUUACAGUGCCAGGGAUGGGGUAGGUGCUGAGCGCCUGGUAUGUGCUCACCCUAUGCUGUACAACACACAGAAAGCCCCACAGGGUUUGAACUGUAAUUAGGUAGAGGGUGUGUGGGACUUGCCUUGGGUCUCU
RNAcentral lists this long non-coding RNA (807 nucleotides) under Pan troglodytes (chimpanzee). RNAcentral describes it as "lincRNA". Lineage: Eukaryota; Metazoa; Chordata; Mammalia; Primates; Hominidae. The record is from RNAcentral.